UGGGGAAUAUUGGACAAUGGGCGAAAGCCUGAUCCAGCCAUGCCGCGUGUGUGAAGAAGGUCUUCGGAUUGUAAAGCACUUUAAGUUGGGAGGAAGGGCAUUAACCUAAUACGUUAGUGUUUUGACGUUACCGACAGAAUAAGCACCGGCUAACUCUGUGCCAGCAGCCGCGGUAAUACAGAGGGUGCAAGCGUUAAUCGGAAUUACUGGGCGUAAAGCGCGCGUAGGUGGUUUGUUAAGUUGGAUGUGAAAUCCCCGGGCUCAACCUGGGAACUGCAUUCAAAACUGACUGACUAGAGUAUGGUAGAGGGUGGUGGAAUUUCCUGUGUAGCGGUGAAAUGCGUAGAUAUAGGAAGGAACACC
RNAcentral lists this ribosomal RNA (363 nucleotides) under uncultured bacterium. Its description in RNAcentral is "partial 16S ribosomal RNA". It matches the Rfam family "Bacterial small subunit ribosomal RNA", at positions 355 to 710 of the family's 1533-position model. The record is from RNAcentral.